GAUAAACGCUGGCGGCGCACAUAAGACAUGCAAGUUGAACGGACUUAAUCGAAAUAUUUAUAUUUUGAAGCGGUUAGUGGCGGACUGGUGAGUAACGCGUAAGGAACCUGCCUAUUAGAGGGGAAUAACAGUGAGAAAUCAUUGCUAAUACCGCAUAUGCCAUAGAUAUCACAUGAUAACAGUGGGAAAGGAGCAAUCCGCUAAUAGAUGGCCUUGCGUCUGAUUAGAUAGUUGGUGGGGUAACGGCCCACCAAGUCGACGAUCAGUAGCCGGACUGAGAGGUUGAACGGCCACAUUGGGACUGAGAUACGGCCCAGACUCCUACGGGAGGCAGCAGUCGGGAAUAUUGCGCAAUGGAGGAAACUCUGACGCAGUGACGCCGCGUAUAGGAAGAAGGUUUUCGGAUUGUAAACUAUUGUCGUUAGGGAAGAGAAAGGACAGUACCUAAAGAGGAAGCUCCGGCUAACUACGUG
Molecule: ribosomal RNA, 473 nt
Filed under: uncultured bacterium
Lineage: Bacteria
Description: partial 16S ribosomal RNA
Rfam family: Bacterial small subunit ribosomal RNA
Source: RNAcentral